ACAGCUAUAUCACAUUGAAACACAGGUUCCCACAUGAUCACUGAAGUUAAGCAACAUUGAGCCUAAUCAGUACCUAGAUGGGUGACCGUUUGGGAAUACCAGGUGCUAUA
Acanthosepion pharaonis is the source of this 110-nucleotide non-coding RNA. NCBI's taxonomy places the organism in Eukaryota, Metazoa, Mollusca, Cephalopoda, Sepiida, Sepiidae. The record is from the annotation of a GenBank genome assembly.